This 359-nucleotide long non-coding RNA is filed under the name Bos taurus (domestic cattle). Its description in RNAcentral is "long non-coding RNA NONBTAT007001". The record is from RNAcentral. Lineage: Eukaryota; Metazoa; Chordata; Mammalia; Artiodactyla; Bovidae.
GGUAAAUAACACAGUACAAAUUGUUUUGAUGAUUGGUGUCUGAAGCAUUUGGAUUUCUGGUGAGUCUAAAUAUGCCAGCCUUAAAUGUUAGAGAAGGUGCUGACUUCUCCAAGAACGUAAGUUUCUAUAGGACACCUUGAGUCUUUUUUAUGGUAUACAGGAAAAAAUUAAGAGAGUCAUAUGUACUUGCUUCUAGUCUGGUUAUUUUACCCAUAGCUUAAAUAACAAAUAAAAGUGUACAUAUGUACAAGAAAAAGAUAGGGAAUCGAGGUAGCCGAGAAGUCUCUGGCCAUGCGUAGUGGCUGUAUUAGCGGGCUCUAUAACACUUCCUGUUCCAUAUACAUAUCUGGGCUUAAUAG